Long non-coding RNA from Dreissena polymorpha, 1014 nucleotides. RefSeq lists it as uncharacterized. The transcript is spliced from 2 exons. NCBI's taxonomy places the organism in Eukaryota, Metazoa, Mollusca, Bivalvia, Myida, Dreissenidae. The record is from RefSeq and is a predicted model, not a curated record.
UAUAUAGAUAUUUCAUUGUGGGGAGUAUAAGAACCUACGCUCUUAUGUUUAGCGCCACGACGUCACGUGCAUUUACGCGUAUUUACGUCAUAUUAUAGACGUCAUAACGGCCAUUGAUAAAAAAUUAUUUGUACAACAUUUGUGGACAACAUCACAAUCGAGAAUCGUCUACGUCUACGUCUACAUCUACGCAUUCGUCAUCGUAUGUAUGUGAAUGAAUCGGUAGAAAGACGCAUGUCUCCAUGAUGAUUUGUUCCAAAUUAUCUGAAUUACCGACAAUACCUUUGCGAUUGGUGGGUUAAAACAGGUAUUGUUACUGGUGGCAUAUACAGUAGCACAAAUCAUUUGCUUUCUUAAUGGACACGUGUGUUCGCCAGUACAAAAAAAACAGUUGCUACGAAGGUAAGCACAAACAUAACCAAAACAAGAAAUUGUUCAAUGUCUUCCCAUCCAAGUUCAUUUGCGGAAUGGCUCUUUCCGAUACGUCUUUGACAGAUCCGAGCUAAGUAGUAGAUUUUCAUAUAUCCUGAGCCGAAUUAGUCCGUGUCCUUAACUCGGGACGCCAACCGCGAUUCUAACAGCGACGUCAUCACAGUGGAUAGUGCUAGCAUUGCCGUCAUGUAAACUGAGACGAUAGAGAUGGUGUUGGAAAUCUUCGGAAUCUCAGACGCUACUAUUGUUAGAAACACGGCUAAAGAUAGCAACACUGUGACAGCGUAGGAAUUAUGCUCACCAGACGGUACCGGAAGUACAAAUGUGAGGACGUUUAUAAACGAAAGUAAAACCAUGGGGAUGAUAAUAUAGAACACAUAAAAUAUUGUCUUCCGCUUCAACUUCAUCUUAAAAAUAACAAUUGCAUCAUCAUCUAUGUCCAAGUACGAUUCAACUGUGGUGGAAAUGGUACAAUUCUGCCAUAAUCGAUUUAACUCAAUUCCAGUGGGAGAACGAAGGUAUUCAUUAUUUUUGUAUUUUAAUGUAUAUAAUUAAAUAAAGGUCAGUGUACGGCUGAUAUUG